AGACAGUAACUUGGUUCUCAUCCAAGACGUCGCUGUCACGAUAAAAUUACAUAUCCAACCUCAUACUAGACUCCUAUUACAGAGCCGUCCUGCUAUAAAGCGGUUCCGGGGCCACCUUGACUGUCUUCUUCUUCAUUUGUAAGCUUCGUUGAGACCGAGCAGCCUUCAGUAGACUUCCCACCUUCUUUGGUCGAAGCUAGUUGACUUCGACUUCGGGUCAUGGAGUCUUCAUGAAGCCGAAACGCUGGGAGCUCCAUGGGGGGUUUAACUUCGUGAGUCCUUUCCUGCAAAACAACAAAGUCGACACCUUCUUGAUAGCUAACUUCGGUCAUUUGUUAACUUCGUAAGGAGGGGGAAAGUGAUGAGGUUAGAAUCGGUCCAGAGGAAAAGGUCCCCGCUAGCGCCGUUCAGGGUGUGUUGUGGGGCGGUCCCCAACAGUAGCCCCUUCGUGGGCGUGGUCCGAGGCGCCGUCGACUGAUCCCGCGAAAAGUCCAAAAACGCCCCCAAAACGUCACCCUGAAGGGCGGCGUGGGCUGAGGCAUUUUACCGUUAUGUGAGGGUAUCAAGGACAUUUUCUAUGUGGCAGUUCAUGUUUCGAGGCGGUUUUUACCGUGCCUAUAUAAGGUUUGCCGGGGGGCGGGCCAUUUUUUACGCUGUCGUUUUCGAGCUGCGCUUUUCGCCACUUUUGCCUUCGUUGCGUGUCUUCGUUUUGUUUUGUUGGCUCCGUUUUCUUGGUGGGGUGUUGACUUCAUUUUCGCGGCAGUUAGCAUCAGGCAGAGCUGUAGGCAAUGUCUUCGGAGGAGUUGGCUCUUCAGGUUGCCCCUGGUGGUGGAGGUAGCCUUGCCUCGCAGUUAGUGUCUGCGAGCAGUGGUGAGUCUAAGGGGAAAAGGUCAAAGAAACGGAUCUAUACGAAGGAUGGACUGGUUUCGGCAGAAGAGGGAUCUUCGGGGAGUAGUUCGCCAGAUUGGUCCUCUGACGGUGGUGAAGGCGAAGGUGGACAGGGGCAAACCUCGAAAGGUACAGGGGGAACCGAGGUUCAUGCCGUAUCCUCGACGAGGAAGAGGUUGGGGAGGAGGAUGCCGAGGUUGAAGUGAGGCCCGAGGCAUCCGUCGGGGGGAAGGUUCCGUGCGUCCCUACUCUUUAUUUUGGACGCUCCCAGGUGACCUCGCAAGACAUUACAUUUUUUGAGGAGAGCCACUUUUUCCCUAAGGGGAUGGGCAGAGCCCCCGGGAGCGAGGCAGUUCCGACGCCUGAGGUCGGCGAGGCGAUUGUCUUUAGGGAUCUGUUUACUACGGGACUUCAUUUUCCAUGCGAUAGGUAGCUUCCGGUUAUAUUGGAUCGCUACCGUUUUAGGCUGCAUUAGUUGACCCCCAAUGCCAUUGUGAACUUGUUUAAGUUCUAUUGGGUGCAGCGCACGUUUGGUGGAAGUGUUAAUUGGAGGGGUUCGCGAGGUUACAUGAGCUUCACAUUCAGAAGAAAAGAACUUAUUCUGAUGAGGGGGUUUGCGAAAAUCAUUUUGGAUGUUGCACCUUCGUGCCUCGUUGGAAGAAUGAUAAGAGGAAUCUACCGAGGGUAGAGCUUACCUUCACGCAGAGGAACAAGUGGGACGAUGCGUGGCUGACGCAUUGGUUUUAUGUAAAGAUUGAAAUGGCCGGUCUUGGCACUGGCUUUCCAUUCUAUGCACAGUUUGGGCCGAUGGACGUGCUGACAACCCCUUCGUUCAUCCAGACAGCCCUUGUGACGAAGUGCGAAGCUGCCUAUAGGGUUGCUGGGCCCUUGAUAUCUGGGCGUGAUCUUGUGGAGGAGUACGUCGCUGCCCGAGUGUGGCCUUUGUCUGCUGAUUUUGCUAAACCCCUUGAGCUCGUUGAGAAGAAAGUAUCUUGGAGUGAGAAGACUGUGCCGUUCCCUUGUUUUGAGCUUAACAAGGAUGAAGUUGGCGACUUGGACUUCUACAUACAGUCAGUGGAAGAUAUGGCUUAUGAGAUUUUGGGUCCGGUGACCCCGCCCGAAAGGCGCUCUUUCAAGGCUGUUAUGAGACAUGGGUGGCGUGUCAACCGGGUUUUUGAUUUGCUUGACAUCGCAGUGCCACCUUGUCCCGAGGUUAUGGGCAAGAGGUGCCGUCGAGGUGUCGUUGCUGAGCAGAGGAAGAAGGUGAAAUUCGAUUCUGCUCGCACGACAAAACCUGCUGUUGAGUCAUAGGCAGCCGCCAAGGCGAAGCAAAAAACCCUUAGCUUGGAGGCGCAGAAGCGGAAAGAUACUAUUGUUGGAGCUUCGUCUGUUGACUUGAGUAGGUCGUCGUAUGUUGUGCCUGUUUCUGUGCGUCCUCCUAUGGAUGCGCCUUCGUCCGCGGGCCCUACCAUUCGGACUAAAAAGGGGGGUAACAAACCUCGCUUUGCACGUGUUAUUGUGCCGGGUGCUAAGGUCGAAGUGCCUUCUGGGACCAGCAACAAGGUUGCACCUUCUUCCUCAGGCGCAAGGGCUCUGGGCGUGCAGUCUAUUUUGGCUGCAAACGAGAAACGUGAGGAGAGGGUAGCUGUUGAGAAGGCGAAGCUUGUGGACGCAUUUUCAUCUGAUCCUAAAGGUGCUAGUGUCGAGGCUGUUAGAUCCGGUAAGCAUGUAGAGGUGAUUUUGCCGAAGCUUCGGUUUUUUGAUUGCGGGCGGGCUUCAGCGUCAUUUUUGAAGGAUUUGGAGGCUACUAUGGGGGAGGUUGGUGAGGUUAGCUGUGAGGAUCAUGUAAGGUUGAAAGUUAAAUGUUAUGAUGUAGGUGAGAGAUUGCCGGCUGGUCUGCAAGGUCUUAAUGAAGGCCUGGGCUUGAGUGGGCGCACGGAGGUUCUAGCAACGUGCGCCGAAGGUAGGGGUCUAUAAUCCACAUAACCUAAUUUUGGACUGGGGGAAGGGUCGUGAGGAUUUCGAGCGCUGUGCAGAUACCGGAGGUUCAAGGAGGAUGGAGAGAACAAGUGCGACGGCUUCGGGUAAAGAGAUUGUUCCGGUCGCCGUCGAGGCGCGGGGGUACGAAGGUAAUGGCUUCUUGUGAGUGAUCAUUGUUUGUGGACUUCAUUGCUAUUGUGGUGUACUUAUAAUUGUAUGCUUGACCCACAGAUUUUCAGCAACCUGUAAGGUCGAUGAGCUCGGAGGAACUUUUGAGCUUGGAGGCUAACCUCGUAAAGAAGGUAUGACUACUAGUCGAUUUGUUGGUGCGUGCGAGGUUUAUUAGUUUUACUGUGUCUGCUGCGACUUGGUCUGAUGUUUUGUGUUUGGGCUUUGCAGAUGUCUUACUCGUCCAUGGUUACGAGGGAUAGGCUUGUCAAAAGCGAGAAGUCAGCUGCAGAACUUGCAAAGAAAGUGGCUUCACUUGAAGCGACUAUUGCAGCUAUGUCCCUGGAGGUGAAGAAGGUCAAAGUCGAGAAUGCGGAGUUGAAGGAGGACUCUCGCAGACUUGGCGAAAAUUACGAGGCCAGGGGCGAGGAGCUUGAGCGCUUGUCAGCAGAAGUGGUAGAUCUUGAAAUGCUGAUUAAAGAGAAAGACAAGACUAUCGAAGAUUUGCGCGACAGUGCCAAACGGGAUAGUGAGGUUAUAUCGGGCUUGAAAGCUAAGAUUGGCCAGAUGGAGCCCAAGCUAGGAAUGAGGGCAAAACUUCUGAGCCAGAUAGAGGCUACGCUAAGGGAGAGGUUUGAAAAGGUUCACGAAGCUUAUAAAAACUCCCUUGGUGUGUUUGGCACUGAGCCCGAUGAUUGCCUACUGAACGAAGGAUGCGAGUGCAUGUUCGAGUGGCUGCUGGAUGAGGUUAACAGCCUUCCCGAGGUUCUUGAGGGCCUGAAUGACUACUCCGCGGUGUUUUGCCUAGAGAGCGCCCUUCACUUGCUGGAGCAACAAGGAUGUGAGCAUAUAAAGAAUAUUUCCGAACACAAUUAUGUUGCGCCGGCUGCCCAAGAUAUUGGAUGCGCUCUGAAGUCUUCUGUUGUGGAGAAUGCAAAGAAGAAUUUGUUCAAGCGUAUGUGGUCAUCCUCUGGGUAGGAGUACGUGAAGAAGCUGGCUUGCGAGCGAUUAGCUCAGCUUCGUUCACAGCCUAGCGUUACUAAUGAAGAGGGGGAUGCUGCGGAGUAGAUCUUUUAACUUAUGGACUUAUUUUUUUGUCUUUUGUUUUUAUGUAAAGAUGACGAGGUCAGAUACUUUUAAUUGUGUAUGAAGUUACGCCUUAUGAAAUAUUUGUGUGCAUGUGUAUCUUGGUUAAAAUGCUAUAGUUUAACUACGUUUAUUCGUGGGCCAACCGCCGGUUUAGAUAAGUUGAAGCUGGGUUGCCGUGCGGGGCAACCUGCUGACUUAGUUGUUGCGAGAGCUGGUUGAUACAGCGACUUGCGCUCGCUUCAACCAUAAUUGUAUGCGUUGCUGGGUGUGGUGACUUCGUGUGAGGUUGGUGUGGUGACUUAUUUUUGGAAGCGGGUAUGCUUGAAGGUGUUUUCGAAAAACGUCACCCCCCUUUUGCGAUAUUGCGAGAGAGAGGUUAGAUAACUUGAGCUUGCGGGCUCUUCUCUUGCGAGGUCGCAGAGACUUUCCGCGUUUUUUCGAAAAAACGUUGUUGAAGCCUUGCCAAGGCUGCAUGCGAGAAACUUGCUUGUGACAGUCUGUUGUUUGUGUCCCAAACGAAAAAACUCCUCCGCGGACUGGCGCGAGGUCGCGUAACUUGUUGUUGGUUUUUCAAAUGAGAGACUCCUUUGUGCACUGGCGCGAGGUCACGCAACUUGUUGUUGCUUUCUUACAUGAAAAGAUCCUCUGCGUACUAGCGCGAGGUUACACAACUUGUUGUUGCUUCUUAAUAAAAAAAAACUCCUCCGCGCACUAGCGCAAGGUUACGCAACUUGUUGUUGCUUCUCAAUCAAAAAACUCCUCCGCGCACUAGCGCGAGGUUACGCAACUUGUUGUUGGUUCUCAAUCGAAAAUCUCCUCCGCGCACUAGCGUGAGGUUACGCAACUUGUUGUUGGUCCGUGAGAUGGAAGGAGCCGGGUCUGCCAGUCUUUGCGACAAUGUAGGGGCCUUCCCAGGCCUCUUGCAGUUUGCCUGGGUUUUCCGAGUUCUUCUUCCUUUUGAUGACGAGGUCACCGACAUUGAUCUGUCUUUCUCGGAUGUGUUGAUUCUUCCAUCUUCGGGUUUCUUCUUGGUAUUUGUCUAGGUUCUCAAUGGCUUCGUUGAUGUCAAGCUCCAUCAUAUCUUUUUCUAUUCGUGCGAUUUCAUCAACGUCACCAUGCUUGAGGACUCUUAGGCUUUUGUUUUUUAUUUCUUCAGGCGUUACAGCCUCGGCCCCGAAUAAGAGCUUGAAUGGGGUAAAGGCUGUUGCUCUGGAUUGUGUUGUGUUAUGGGACCAUAUGACUCUUGGGAGCUCGUCGACCCAUUUGCCCUUUUUCUGAUCGAAGAGACAUUUCUUGACUGCUGUAAAUAUCGUGCCGUUGGCUCUUUCUACAGCUCCGUUUGACUGCGGGUGGUAUACGGACGAGAAUUUUAUCUUCGUGCCUAAGCUUGCGCAAAAGUUCAUGAAUGAAAUGCAAUCAAACUGCUUGCCAUUAUCGACGGUUAGCUCCCUUGGGACUCUAAACCGACAGACAAUGUUUUGCCAGAAAAACUUUUGCACCGAAGCUGACGUGAUGACGGCGAGUGGCUUGGCUUCGGCCCAUUUGGUGAAGUAGUCUAUUGCCAGCGCUGCGAACCUGCAGUUUCCUUGUGCUUCUGGAAGUAGGCCAACUAGAUCCAUCCCCCAUCUCUGGAGAGGCCACGAGGGGGGUAUUAGUUCGAUGGGAAGUGAAGGUGUAUGUGUUUGCCUUGCCAUUUUUUGGCAUGCUUCGCAGCUUCGUACAAGCAGGUGUGCGUCCGUGUGGACUGAUGGCUAAUAGAACCCUUGACGGAUUGCUUUUCCUACCAGGGCUCUUGAGCCAAUGUGAGCUCCACAGAAAUCGUCGUGUAUUUCUUUGAGCAGUUCACUGCCUGUUUCGUAGUCGACGCACCGAAGCCAUGGUGUUGAGAUGCCUGUUUUGUAUAGCUGGCCCUCAAUGAUUGCGUAGCCCCUUGCUCUUUGCUUUAGACGUGCGCAUUUAGCUUCGUUCUGAGGUUCAAAAUGGCCUCUGAGGAAGGCCAUUAUGCUUGUGCGCCAAUCGUAACGCUGGAUGGCGUUGAUGGUGGCCGGGUCUUCUUGUUUGAUUGACGGCGAAGUUAUGACUUCGUAAAAUGUAUCUGGCGGAAUUGGCUUGCCUUCUGCUGCCGCCUUUGCGAGUUUGUCAGCUUCGUCAUUUUGUGCUCUUGGUAUGUUUGUGACAUCAAACCCUUUAAAAUGUUUUUCCAUGGCUCGGACUGCCUGGAGGUAUUUGACAAGCUCUGGCUCUUUGGCUUCGCUAUCCUUCUCGAUGUGAUCACGGAUUACCUUCGAAUCUGUUCUGAUGACGAAUGUUUGCUGCCCUAUGGCUUUCAUUUUUCUUAAGGCCAGGAGAAAUCCUUCGUACUCUGUGGUGUUGUUGGUUGACUUCGCAGUUGGUGGGAAAUCUAGCCUCGCUGCGUACUUGAUUCUAACGCCUAUUGGCGAGGUGAUCACUGCUGCGACACCUGCUCCUCUACGGCACCAAGCUCCGUCACAGUGGACGACCCAUGGCGUUUCUAGCUGCUUUGGUUCUUGCUUAGGCGAGGUCCAGUCAGUGAUGAAGUCAGCCAAGACUUGGGAUUUUAUAGCCGUGCGCCUUUCGAAAUCGACGAUGAACUCCGAGAGCUCAGAUGCCCAUUUGGCGAUGCGGCUAGAAGCUUCUCUGUUUGAGAAGAGAUCAUGGAGAGGUUGGCUGGUUACCACGACUAUUUUGUGCCCCUCAAAGUAAUGUCGUAGCUUUUGUGCUGCCAUGACAACCGCAUAUGCGAUUUUUCUAACUCAGAGUAACGCAUCUUUGAACUGCUCAAUGCCUCUGAUGCGAAGUAAACUGGUAUCUGCUUAAUUUUGCCUUCGAUUUCUUUCUCUUGGAUCAACGCAGCACUGACAGCUGUUGCUGAGGCUGAUACGUAAAGCAACAGUGGUGACUUGGGCUCUGGUGGGCAUAGCUUCGUCAUGGAAUGCAGGUACGCCUUGAGGUCUUGGAAUGCUCUGCUUUGUUCGUGUCCCCAUUCAAAUAUUUUGGAGCUUCGGAGCAUUUUGAAGAAGGGGAGGCUUCGCUCUGCUGCUCUCGGAAUAAAACGGUUUAGGGCUGCGAUUCUGCCAGUGAGCCGUUGUACCUACUUGAGUGAUGUUGGCUCUGACAUGUUGGCUAGUGCUGUGAUUUUGUCUGGGUUGGCCUCGAUGCCCUUCGUGGUUACCAAGCAGCCUAAGAUUUUUCCCCUUUGGACUCCGAAUACGCAUUUGUCUGGAUUUAGCUUCAAAUUGGCUGACCUCAUGUUAGUGAAUGUUUCUGUGAGGUCCAUGAUAUGGUUGCUUCGUUUAGCGCUCUUUACGAUGAUGUCGUCUACAUAGGCCAAAAUAUUGCGCCGAAGCUGGUUGUCCAGGAUUGUUGCUGUCAUUCUUGAGAAUGUUUGGCCAGCGUUUUUUAGCCCCUCUGGCAUACGGACGAAGCAGAAUGUUCCGAAGGGUGUCACGAAACUUGUUUUGCUUUCAUCUUCUUUUUUGAUUCUGAUCUGGUGGUACCCUGAGAAGAGGUUAAGUAGCGAGAGCAUUUCAUUGUUUGCAGCGUCAUCUACCACCUUGUCAAUUCUUUCGAGAGGGUAGUCAUCUUUUGGGCAGGCUUUGUUGAGGUCUGUGAAGUCUAUGCACAUUCUCCAUUUGCCAUUUUUGUUUUUAACUGGUACUGUGUUGGCUAGCCAGUCAGGGUACUGGAUUGGCCUGAUUACGUUGGCUUCGAGUAGCCUGUCAACUUUGGCCUUUACUGCUUGGACCUUCUCGUCGGACAUUUUUCUUAGCUUCUGUUUCUUUGGCCUAGCUCCUUAUUUGAUGUCAAGGCUGUGCUCAAUGAUUUCCCUAUCCACUCCCUUUAGAUCACUUGCAGACCAAGCGAAGAUGUCUUUGUUCUUGUUGAGCCAUUCGACGAGGUCACGUUCUUCAUCUGGGUUGAGAUUCGCCCCAAUUGUUACGAAUCUGUCUGCGAUGUACCCGUCUAGGAGUACCCGCUUUGUUUCACCGUCCGCACUGAUUUUUACCUUCUCUUUAUCUCUCUUAGGCUCGUCGUGGGCCUUUUGCUUUGCUAGGUUUUCAGCUUCGUUUGACGAGGCUAGAUGGUGGACAUUCUUUUGGCCCGGGGCUACCCCUUUUUCUAUGUUCCUUGCCAUUUGCUGAUCACCGUACACCGUUAUGACCCCUUUGAGGGCGGGUAUUUUCAUGCAUAGGUACAACUGCCUGAUUGUUGCGUCCAUUUUGGUGAUGAAGCCACGGCCGAGUAUUGCGUUGUAGGGAUAAUGCAUUUCCACUACGUCGAAGGUGAUGUGUUCUGUCCUCGCAUUAUCACGGUCCCCGAACGAAACUGGGAGGGCGAUUUUUCCCAAGGCCUUCACUGGCUUUCCGCCGAAGCCGAGGAGCGGGACAUCAGCUGGGUCGAGCGUGUUCAUGUCAAUGUUCAUUUCUUUGAAUGCAUUUGCGAAGAGAAUGUCCGCGGAGCUGCCUGUGUCUACCAGGACUUUCCCCACUGUCCAGCCUGCUAUCAGUUCUUUGAUGACCAUCGCAUUGUUAUGCGAGGUUGUCUUGAGGUUGAAAUCUUCGCCGGUGAAGGUUAUGGGCAUGUGCGCCCCAUUCUGGCUUUGCUGGAGGUCCGUCGGGAAUGAUCAUGUUGACCUCUCUGAAGUAGUUCCGUCUCUGCCUCUUGCUUUCAAACUCUAGUGAGGAGCCCCCGGUGAUUGGCAUUAUCAUCCCGAAGGUGGGCAAGGAAUUUUGGUUGUUGUUUUGCGUGUUGGGUUCUGGCUUGGGCAUUAUGGCUGGCAUGCUUGGGGGUGGAGGUAGAGUUUCUUGGGGCUUCUGAGGCGGGUUGGGAUUGGGGUGGUGUGGAAUUGCUUGGUGGUAGGGCUGUAUGUGUGGGGGAAGAGGCCAAUUCAUCGGUUGCGGGAAGUUGGCGAAGCUAGGCUGAUUGUGGUAGAAGGUUGGGUGUGGGUAAAAAGUUGUGUGGUGGAUUGUUUUGGGCGUCUGCACGGCUGCCUUCGUAGCUUCUUCCGCAGCUUUUCUCUCUUCUUCCUUCUUUUUGGGGCACCACUCUGUGUUGUGGUGAUUCUGAUGGCCGUGGUUGACACAGUAAAAUGACUUUGGUUGUCUGCCUCGACCUCGUCCUCUGGCAGAGUGGCCCCCUCUUUGGGUGCUGUUGUUUUAAUUUUGGCUCUGGCUUUGGUUUUGGCUUCCCUCGAUGUUCAUGAUACGGUUUUGGUUUUGGUUUGGGUUUUGGGGCUUGUUGUAAGGCAAAUGUUGCCAGCUUCGGUUUUGGUUUGUUUGUCUUUCUUUGUUGCGUUCCGCCACUCUUCUGUGGUGGUCCUCGUCGGCCCUGAUGUAUUCAUCAAGUUUGCUGAAGAGGGCAGUCAUGGUUUUAGGCUCCUUCCUUGAUAGUUUUGACGCUGUUGGGCUAGGGGUUAGGCCCGCGAUACAAGCGGAUAUUGCUACAGAUUCCUCAAUGUGCGGUGCUUGACAACGAAGUUGAACGUAUCUUCUUACAUAUUCUGCAAGUGGUUCCUUGUCCUUUUGCUUGCACUGAAAGAGGUCUGCCUGGGCCGUGUGGGGGUGGUGGAAACCCUGGAAAUUUUGAGUGACCUUCGUCUUGAGAUCGUGCCAGCUGAUCACCGUGUGUGGAGGGAGCAGCGAAUACCAAUUAAGUGCCACGCCCUCGCAGGCAAUUAUGAAGGAUUUGGUGAGGACGACGUCAUCCCCUCCGGCCGAAGCUAUUGCGGCUUUGUAACUCAUUAAGAAUUGCUAUGGGUCGGUGCGCCCGUUGAAUUUGGGCAAGGUGGUUGGUUUGUAAGUUGUUGGCCAUGGUGUAGUUUGUAGCCCUAUUGAGAGUGGUGAAGUUGUGUCGACCACAAGGGACACCCCCGGUGAGUGGUGCUGGGUGCCUUGGCCGAAGUUGAGGCUGGGUUGCAGCUGUGCUUGAUCGACAGUGGGACUUUGAUAAAAAUAAGUUGCGGCCUGGUUUGCAUUCUUGAGCGGGCUUUCGAGCUCUACGACUUCUUUCUGUAGUGCUUCUAGUUGCCGCCUAGCUUCGUUCAACUUUGGUAGCCUGGCCGCAACCUCUCUCUGGUGUUGCACUUGCCAUGCCAACUGUUCCUUUUUUCUUUUGACCUCUUCUAUCUCUCGGAGAACUGAAUCUAGUUCAUUGUCCAGGCUGGAUGGGCCAGUAGCUUCGGGUGUUGUGGGCUGGUGGGCAUCAAUGCAGUUGGCAGCUUCGUUUGCCACAGGUUGGUGGCUUUGGUGGUUGACUUCGUUUGCGGGCUGGUUGCUCAUUGCCUUGGCCCUCAGGGCUUGCUCGACUCUUGCAAGACGCUCCGCCUUGUUGAGGAGGACUUGAUGUGUAGCUUCGGGGGCCGUGAGCUGGUUGGCUUCUUCUGUGUUGUCUUCCCUCUGAGCUGCGGGUCUCUUUUUGCGUUGUGGUGGCAUCGUGGGCUGUUUAACGAGUUAAACCACGGUGGGCGCCAAAUGUUAGGGUACCCCCAAACAACAGUAAGAAUAUUAUGACGAACGAAGAUAACGGUAGUUCAAACAAACGUUACAGUGGCUGUCCUAUCAAUGAUUCGUGUGUUCUUAGGGGGGACGGUUCGCCUCCCUUUAUAGAGUCAUAAAGUUACAUUUCCGCAUCACCGUUAUACCCAUACUCAACCACUACAUCCUAAGAAUAUUCCGUACAAGACAGUAACUUGGUUCUCAUCCAAGACGUCGCUGUCACGAUAAAAUUACAUAUCCAACCUCAUACUAGACUCCUAUUACAGAGCCGUACUGCUAUAAAGCGGUUCCGGGGCCACCUUGACUGUCUUCUUCUUCAUUUGUAAGCUUCGUUGAGACCGAGUAGCCUUCAGUAGACUUUCCACCUUCUUUGGUCGAAGCCAGUUGACUUCGACUUCGGGUCAUGGUGUCUUCACGAAGCCGAAACGCUGGAAGCUCCGCGGGAGGUUUAACUUCGCGAGUCCUUUCCUGCAAAACAACAAAGUGGACACCUUCGUGAUAGCUAACUUCGGUCAUUUGUUAACUUCGUAAGGAGGGGGAAAGUGAUGAGGUUAGAAU
This 11198-nucleotide long non-coding RNA is filed under the name Setaria italica (foxtail millet). RNAcentral's name for it is "long non-coding RNA (SITA_LNC003029)". The record is from RNAcentral. Lineage: Eukaryota; Viridiplantae; Streptophyta; Magnoliopsida; Poales; Poaceae.